CGUGCAUAUUUCCCCCAAGGUUUCUCUCUCUCCCUCUCAAUACUCUGCAAAUUGAUUAUGGCCCUCAAUUGUGAACCGAAUUUUCUGCGAUUCAAUCUUUUCGGCAAUUCUUGCUUACUAUAACUCAUUCAUGGUCUCAAAACUCACACGGGCUACAGAUUUGUCGAGAUUAUGAAGCUGAAGGACGACUCCAACUGCUCUCUGCAAUUUCAAGUGAUUCGUUCUGUAUAGGGUCUUGCAUUUGAGAUGAGUUUUGAUAAGCCAUGUAUAGGGUCUUGCAGUUCCUAUAUACGUGUACUACCCUGUGGUUUGAUGGCCAAUAAACGGGAACCGACUCUCACUCUAUUGACCUGUCUAGACUACUGUUUUCCAGCUUCCCAAGUAUGGGGAAGAGAAAUGCAAAACAAAGCGUUGAUUCGCUCUUGUUUUAAAAAUCAACAAGGCGAUAAAGAAUUGUUUGUUUUGCAAAAACAAAAACAAGACACAGCAUGAAGGGCAUGGAGGGCAAAGGGCCCUAUUCAUUUUUGUGUUUUAAUCGCUUUCCUGUUGUUUCUGGGCAUCCAAUUGCCGCCUGUGUUCAUGCAGUCUUCAUAUGCCAUAUCCAUUCCGAAGAUGUUACCGCCUUACAGGUACAGGCUGAUCUGUGUAAGAACCUCCGAAGUGUAAGUUCUGCGAUUCGAUCAUCUACUGUAUGAUAUAAGGCUCUGAGUAAGAUGGUAGACUUUGGUCACAGGUUUCACGCAUCAAGAAUUGAACUCUAUAUUGCCUUAAGGACCAACCUUGAAACAACUUUGUCCAUUGGUAUUUCCUUCUUAUUAACGUGAAGAUAUCUCACUUCUUGGCCACUUCGGUUCUCGGUGGUCAGAAAUGUGCUGGAUUAUUUAUACUGACGAUAUGAUGGAUAAUUUUGUUCUGCAGGUGGGCCUAGACGUCGAUCAUUUCACAUUCCCUGAAGGAAUACCAGGAGUGCUUGAAACGAGCUUUUCAAAGUACUCUCACCAGCACGCACUGGUGUGAUUUACCACAGAGUUGAAGAAGUGUUGGAAGAAAGCGAUAAGAGCAAAAGGUUCAAGCGCCAGUGAGUCAAAUGUUAUGGCCAGCAAGGAGAGAGUUGAAGAGUCAGCUCCUGGUGAAGAUUUUGCUGCCGUCCAAGUGAGGCAGACGAAUUAGAAGUGGCAGAGACAGGAGAAGGCACAAUGUAUUA
Molecule: RNA transcript, 1204 nt
Organism: Rhododendron vialii
Lineage: Eukaryota; Viridiplantae; Streptophyta; Magnoliopsida; Ericales; Ericaceae
Exons: 3
Source: RefSeq, a predicted model, not a curated record